Molecule: ribosomal RNA, 1032 nt
Filed under: Mintonia silvicola
Lineage: Eukaryota; Metazoa; Arthropoda; Arachnida; Araneae; Salticidae
Description: eukaryotic LSU rRNA
Rfam family: Eukaryotic large subunit ribosomal RNA
Source: RNAcentral
CCAGCGCCGAAUCCCCGGCCUCCGGUCGCGGGAAAUGUGGCGUUAAGGAGUGAGCGUGCCGGGUUCGCGCUGUCGACGGCAAGUCCCCCUGACCGGGGCCUAUCCAGAGCGGGUGCGAGACCCAUAGCCGUCCGGCGCAUCUCGGAAUGCGAUCUCCGUGGAGUCGGGUUGCUUGGGAGUGCAGCCCUAAUCGGGUGGUAAACUCCACCUAAGGCUAAAUACCGCCGUGAGACCGAUAGCAAACAAGUACCGUGAGGGAAAGUUGCAAAGAACUUUGAAGAGAGAGUUCAAGAGUACGUGAAACUGCUCAGAGGUAAACGGGUGGGCCCUCGAAAUCCUGUGGCGAGAGGAUUCAGUCUGGCGUAUCGCGCGUGCUCGACCGGGAUUCAUAAGAGGCUUCCCUGAACGGGGCCGUCCGGUCGCACGUCUCGCGACUUGUGCAGACGCAUUUGGCUCUCGCCCGAAGGACGCUGCAGCCGGCGGGGCAGUGCAAACGCGACGGCCUGAAGGUCGGGAGAUGGCAGGUGGCCGGCGGCGCGCCUCGUGCGCGUCUGCCGGUUGUUAGCCGUCCCGUCAGUGGCCCGUCGCCCCGCCGAGGUGUCACCAGGCCCCCCAUGGGGCUUCUCCGCCCGCUUAAUCAUUAAGCGAGUAGCCGUUGCUGGGCACCGACCGGAGACUCGUCGCCCUCCCUCAGGAGGGGACGGUAGUCGAGCCGGACCCGCAGGCGACGUGAAGGCUCGCGGCAGGCCGGAGGCUGGCAGCGAGUAGGUCGGUCACCCACCCGACCCGUCUUGAAACACGGACCAAGGAGUCCAACAUGUGCGCGAGUCAAUGGGUCUUGAACAGGCCCAGGGGCGCAAUGAAAGCAAAGGCCGGCACAUCGCCGGCCGAGUCGGGAUCCCCGGCCUCGGCCGGGGCGCACCGACGACCCGUCCCGUCCGGCUCGCCGGUGGGGCGGCGUGUGAGCGUACACGUUGGGACCCGAAAGAUGGUGAACUAUGCCCGGACAGGACGAGGCCAGAGGAAACUCUG